This 707-nucleotide ribosomal RNA is filed under the name uncultured bacterium. Its description in RNAcentral is "bacterial SSU rRNA". It matches the Rfam family "Bacterial small subunit ribosomal RNA", at positions 55 to 808 of the family's 1533-position model. The record is from RNAcentral.
AUGCAAGUCGAGCGGGACCUUCGGGUCUAGCGGCGGACGGGUUAGUAACGCCUGUUAACGUGCCCUUCUCUAAGGAAUAGCCACUGGAAACGGCUUGUAAUACCUUAUACGCCCUUCGGGGGAAAGAUUUAUCGGAGAAGGAUCGGCCCGCGUUAGAUUAGGUAGUUGGUGGGGUAAUGGCCUACCAAGCCUACGAUCUAUAGCUGGUUUUAGAGGAUGAUCAGCAACACUGGGACUGAGACACGGCCCAGACUCCUACGGGAGGCAGCAGUGGGGAAUCUUGGACAAUGGGCGCAAGCCUGAUCCAGCCAUGCCGCGUGAGUGAUGAAGGCCUUAGGGUCGUAAAGCUCUUUCGCCAGGGAUGAUAAUGACAGUACCUGGUAAAGAAACCCCGGCUAACUCCGUGCCAGCAGCCGCGGUAAUACGGAGGGGGUUAGCGUUGUUCGGAAUUACUGGGCGUAAAGCGCGCGUAGGCGGAUCAGAAAGUUGGGGGUGAAAUCCCGGGGCUCAACCCCGGAACGGCCUCCAAAACUCCUGGUCUUGAGUUCGAGAGAGGUGAGUGGAAUUCCGAGUGUAGAGGUGAAAUUCGUAGAUAUUCGGAGGAACACCAGUGGCGAAGGCGGCUCACUGGCUCGAUACUGACGCUGAGGUGCGAAAGUGUGGGGAGCAAACAGGAUUAGAUACCCUGGUAGUCCACACCGUAAACG